Molecule: non-coding RNA, 73 nt
Organism: Dictyocaulus viviparus (bovine lungworm)
Lineage: Eukaryota; Metazoa; Nematoda; Chromadorea; Rhabditida; Metastrongylidae
Source: Rfam
ACCUCGGUAGUGUAAUGGAUCAGCACGGCAGACCGGAUAUCUGUAAGUGUGAGCUCAAGUCCCGCAUGAGGUU